Molecule: small nuclear RNA, 154 nt
Filed under: Calidris pugnax (ruff)
Lineage: Eukaryota; Metazoa; Chordata; Aves; Charadriiformes; Scolopacidae
Description: U1 spliceosomal RNA (ENSCPUG00000012528.1)
Source: RNAcentral
AGGCCACCUGACAGUUGAGACACCAUGCUCACAAAGGUGUUUUUUUUUCCCAGAGAAAGGCCCGUCUCUUGCACAUUGAGUGUUCUGAUACCUGUGAUUUCCCCAAAUGCAGGGAAUUUGACUGCAUCUUUUGUGAUAAUGGCAAGCUCUGCUC